GUCCUCCACUGGCAUGGCUCCGGCCUCUGAAAGUUAUGAUGUAUAAUCUUUGAAAAUAAAAAUAAAUAGAUUUAUCAAAUUAAUUAUAUAAUUAUGGAUGGCUAGGUAAGAUUUAAAAUGAUUUAAGGAUUAUAUACUUAGCACUACUCAUCAACCUCUUCAAAUGUCUGGUGUUGGGUAUAAAAUACCUCCCAGCUGAAGUUCGUGAUAGGGGCGACCCUCCGGGGAUUCUAUUGGCG
Molecule: long non-coding RNA, 239 nt
Filed under: Elaeis guineensis (African oil palm)
Lineage: Eukaryota; Viridiplantae; Streptophyta; Magnoliopsida; Arecales; Arecaceae
Description: long non-coding RNA (EGUI_LNC054602)
Source: RNAcentral